UCCGGGUUGGACCCGGCGGUCCCGCCAGACAUGGUAACUGGCAGCGAGGGUUGCGCUCGUUGCGGGACUUAACCCAACACCUCACGGCACGAGCUGACGACAGCCAUGCAGCAUCUGUGCACGCUCCCUUGCGGGUCCUCAGCCUUUCGACCUCGUACCACGUGCAUGUCAAGCCCAGGUAAGGUGGGGAUGACGUGCGUCAGUCAA
This 207-nucleotide unclassified non-coding RNA is filed under the name uncultured Chloroflexota bacterium. RNAcentral describes it as "uncultured Chloroflexi bacterium contains 16S-23S intergenic spacer region". The record is from RNAcentral. Lineage: Bacteria; Bacillati; Chloroflexota.